This 253-nucleotide ribosomal RNA is filed under the name uncultured bacterium. RNAcentral's name for it is "partial 16S ribosomal RNA". It matches the Rfam family "Bacterial small subunit ribosomal RNA", at positions 524 to 776 of the family's 1533-position model. The record is from RNAcentral.
UACGAAGGGGGCUAGCGUUGCUCGGAAUCACUGGGCGUAAAGCGCACGUAGGCGGAUCUUUAAGUCAGGGGUGAAAUCCCGGAGCUCAACUCCAGAACUGCCUUUGAUACUGGGGAUCUCGAGUCCGGAAGAGGUGAGUGGAACUCCGAGUGUAGAGGUGAAAUUCGUAGAUAUCAAGCAGAACACCUGUGGCGAAGGCGGCCUUCUGGACGAUGACUGACGCUGAGACGCGAAAGCGUGGGGAGCAAACAGG